This is a small nuclear RNA of Bombyx mandarina (wild silkworm), 170 nucleotides long. NCBI's taxonomy places the organism in Eukaryota, Metazoa, Arthropoda, Insecta, Lepidoptera, Bombycidae. The record is from RefSeq and is a predicted model, not a curated record.
AUACUUACCUGGCGUAGGGAUACCGUGAUCAUGCAGGUGGUUCCUCCAGGGUGAGGCUGCUCCAUUGCACUGCGGAGUGGUUGACCCUUGCGAUUAUUUUUUUAUUGCUUAAAUGAGUCGACGAGCUCACAGUCCGCCUGGUGUUAGGUGGCUUUGGAGACCAUAGACAU